Molecule: ribosomal RNA, 1040 nt
Filed under: uncultured bacterium
Lineage: Bacteria
Description: bacterial SSU rRNA
Rfam family: Bacterial small subunit ribosomal RNA
Source: RNAcentral
CGGAAUUAGAGACCGGCGCACGGGUGCGUAACGCGUAUGCAAUCUACCUUUCACAGAGGGAUAGCCCAGAGAAAUUUGGAUUAAUACCUCAUAGUAUAUAGAGUUGGCAUCAACAUUAUAUUAAAGUCACAACGGUGAAAGAUGAGCAUGCGUCCCAUUAGCUAGUUGGUAAGGUAACGGCUUACCAAGGCAACGAUGGGUAGGGGUCCUGAGAGGGAGAUCCCCCACACUGGUACUGAGACACGGACCAGACUCCUACGGGAGGCAGCAGUGAGGAAUAUUGGACAAUGGGCGCAAGCCUGAUCCAGCCAUGCCGCGUGCAGGAUGACGGUCCUAUGGAUUGUAAACUGCUUUUGCACAGGAAGAAACACUACUUCGUGAAGUAGCUUGACGGUACUGUGAGAAUAAGGAUCGGCUAACUCCGUGCCAGCAGCCGCGGUAAUACGGAGGAUCCAAGCGUUAUCCGGAAUCAUUGGGUUUAAAGGGUCCGUAGGCGGUUUAGUAAGUCAGUGGUGAAAGCCCAUCGCUCAACGGUGGAACGGCCAUUGAUACUGCUAGACUUGAAUUAUUAGGAAGUAACUAGAAUAUGUAGUGUAGCGGUGAAAUGCUUAGAGAUUACAUGGAAUACCAAUUGCGAAGGCAGGUUACUACUAAUUGAUUGACGCUGAUGGACGAAAGCGUGGGUAGCGAACAGGAUUAGAUACCCUGGUAGUCCACGCCGUAAACGAUGGAUACUAGCUGUUGGAAGCAAUUUCAGUGGCUAAGCGAAAGUGAUAAGUAUCCCACCUGGGGAGUACGUUCGCAAGAAUGAAACUCAAAGGAAUUGACGGGGGCCCGCACAAGCGGUGGAGCAUGUGGUUUAAUUCGAUGAUACGCGAGGAACCUUACCAAGGCUUAAAUGUAGAUUGACCGGUUUGGAAACAGACUUUUCGCAGACAAUUUACAAGUGCUGCAUGGUUGUCGUCAGCUCGUGCCGUGAGGUGUCAGUUAAGUCCUAUACGAGCGCAACCCCAGUUGUUAGUUGCCAGCGAGUCAUGUCG